GCCUGAAUGGCGGAAUUGGUAGACGCGCUGGUCUCAAAAACCAGUGGGCUUAUGCCCGUGUCGGUUCGAGUCCGACUUCAGGCA
This 84-nucleotide transfer RNA is filed under the name Bacteroidales bacterium. RNAcentral describes it as "tRNA-Leu". It matches the Rfam family "tRNA". Rfam says of the family: Transfer RNA (tRNA) molecules are approximately 80 nucleotides in length. Their secondary structure includes four short double-helical elements and three loops (D, anti-codon, and T loops). The record is from RNAcentral. Lineage: Bacteria; Pseudomonadati; Bacteroidota; Bacteroidia; Bacteroidales.